Molecule: unclassified non-coding RNA, 200 nt
Filed under: soil metagenome
Description: partial contains internal transcribed spacer 2 and large subunit ribosomal RNA
Source: RNAcentral
AUGUUGCCGUGUCACAAACGGCUCGUCUGAAAUGCCUGAGUGUACCCCUGCUUUGCGGCGUAUUCGGUGUGAUAAAUCUUCACCGGAGUUGACCCUCAGGGUCACGUCUGCUUGACAUGGCUCUAUGCUUCCAACCGUCCUGACAAGACAAUCUUUGACAAUUUGACCUCAAAUCGGGUGGGACUACCCGCUGAACUUAA